Rhagoletis pomonella (apple maggot) is the source of this 429-nucleotide long non-coding RNA. RefSeq lists it as uncharacterized. Lineage: Eukaryota; Metazoa; Arthropoda; Insecta; Diptera; Tephritidae. The record is from RefSeq and is a predicted model, not a curated record. The transcript is spliced from 3 exons.
UUUCUUCUUUUUCAGGCAACAGCUGACGCAAUACAACCCAUAUAUUUAAAUAAUAAACAAAUUUGCGACGAUAUUAUUAGAAAGUGCUCGCCUUCACGCCGUUUGGAAUCAAGAGAACUAGCAAGAAUACUUAUAAAUCCGCAUAUCAGGAAUAUGUAUCUGAAGCAGUGGCGGGCGAACUCACAGUAUCACAUAUUGCGAAGUGUGUCUUGCAGCGCAGUCUUAUUCCUUUGAUUCGCUUUGCCGAACGUGCGCAGCGGCGUUGGCAGCGAAAUACAACAUACAGGUUAUGUUGGUGCAUUCACGAGUACGACCUCGUUGAAGUUUGUCGCCGUUAUUCCUUGUCACCCUGUAUUAACGCGUGACAAUGGCAGACCUCCGAGUGUAUUUCUGCCAUGAAAAAACAGCCUCUUAUAAAAAUACAAUCGC